This is a long non-coding RNA of Saccostrea echinata, 250 nucleotides long. RefSeq lists it as uncharacterized. The transcript is spliced from 3 exons. The record is from RefSeq and is a predicted model, not a curated record. Lineage: Eukaryota; Metazoa; Mollusca; Bivalvia; Ostreida; Ostreidae.
AAAAGAACAAAUGAAAUUUUCAGAUCCUGUCUCAUCCACAAGUGGAAUGGAGCAAGGAAAAGAAGAGGACUUGAAAGGAAAGCAAGAAAGAAAGAUUGAAGAUCCUGUCUCGAGCACAAGUGGAAUCUAACAAGGAAAAGAAGAGAACUUGGAAUUAAAGCAAGACAGAAAGAAUGAAGAUACGCCAGUGAGACAGAAUAUAUGUAUCGAGGAUGAUGAAAUCCCUUCAAGUCAACGAUGAAAACACCGA